Molecule: ribosomal RNA, 506 nt
Filed under: uncultured bacterium
Lineage: Bacteria
Description: bacterial SSU rRNA
Rfam family: Bacterial small subunit ribosomal RNA
Source: RNAcentral
AACGAACGCUGGCGGCGUGCCUAACACAUGCAAGUCGAACGCGAACGGGUCUUCGGACCCUAGUAGAGUGGCGCACGGGUGAGUAACACGUGGGCAAUCUACCCAGGGAUUUGGGAUAACCAGGGGAAACCCUGGCUAAUACCGAAUACGUCCAUGAGGCCUUCGGUCCUCAUGGAGAAAGGUGGCCUCUUCUCGAAAGCUGCCGUUCCUGGAUGAGCCCGCGGACCAUUAGCUUGUUGGUGAGGUAACGGCUCACCAAGGCCAUGAUGGUUAGCUGGUCUGAGAGGAUGAUCAGCCACACUGGGACUGACACACGGCCCAGACUCCUACGGGAGGCAGCAGUGGGGAAUCUUGCGCAAUGGGGGAAACCCUGACGCAGCAACGCCGCGUGGGUGAUGAAGGCCCUGGGUCGUAAAGCCCUGUCUGGAGGAAAGAAUCCCGCUCUCGCUAAUACCGGGAGUGGAUGACGGUACCUCUGAAGGAAGCACCGGCUAACUCCGUGCCAG